Molecule: ribosomal RNA, 253 nt
Filed under: uncultured bacterium
Lineage: Bacteria
Description: partial 16S ribosomal RNA
Rfam family: Bacterial small subunit ribosomal RNA
Source: RNAcentral
UACGUAGGGGGCUAGCGUUGUCCGGAUUUAUUGGGCGUAAAGAGCGUGUAGGCGGCCAGGUAGGUCCGUCGUGAAAACUCGAGGCUUAACCUCGAGAUGUCAUCGGAAACCAUUUGGCUAGAGUCCGGAAGAGGAAAGUGGAAUUCCUGGUGUAGCGGUGAAAUGCGCAGAUAUCAGGAAGAACACCCGUGGCGAAGGCGGUUCUCUGGGACGGUACUGACGCUGAGACGCGAAAGCGUGGGGAGCGAACAGG